ACGAAAUGUUGAACGUUUGGGAUUCGUGGGGUUGUUGCUGGCCUCUUUGUUGGGGGGUAUGUGCACGCCUUUGACCCGAGCGUUUCAGUCCUUUCUUCACACAUUGUGCACCCUAUGUAGCCGGGGAUGAUCACGAAGCCUCUUGGUUUCGAAAGCUCCGGCUAUGAAGUCGUCUACACGCGCUUUGUAAAGUCUUAUUAGAACGUUUGUAUCCGCGUCUGACGCGAAUCGAAUA
RNAcentral lists this unclassified non-coding RNA (235 nucleotides) under uncultured Sarcodon. RNAcentral's name for it is "sequence contains ITS1". Lineage: Eukaryota; Fungi; Basidiomycota; Agaricomycetes; Thelephorales; Thelephoraceae. The record is from RNAcentral.